RNAcentral lists this unclassified non-coding RNA (377 nucleotides) under uncultured Actinomycetes bacterium. RNAcentral's name for it is "uncultured actinobacterium contains 16S-23S intergenic spacer region". Lineage: Bacteria; Bacillati; Actinomycetota; Actinomycetes. The record is from RNAcentral.
UCCGAGUUGACCCCGGCAGUCUCCUAUGAGUCCCCGGCAUUAUCCGCUGGCAACAUAGGACGAGGGUUGCGCUCGUUGCGGGACUUAACCCAACAUCUCACGACACGAGCUGACGACAGCCAUGCACCACCUAUCGCAGGCCCUUGCGGACACCGCAUCUCUGCGGCUUUUCCUGCGUAGUUCAACCCAGGUAAGGUUCUUCGCGUCGCAUCGAAUUAAUCCGCAUGCUCCGCCGCUUGUGCGGGCACCCGUCAAUUCCUUUGAGUUUUAGCCUUGCGGCCGUACUCCCCAGGCGGGGCGCUUAAUGCGUUAGCUGCGGCACAGAGGACGUGGAAUGCCCCCCACACCUAGCGCCCAACGUUUACGGCGUGGACUAC